RNAcentral lists this long non-coding RNA (241 nucleotides) under Cricetulus griseus (Chinese hamster). Its description in RNAcentral is "lncRNA (ENSCGRG00000024162.1)". Lineage: Eukaryota; Metazoa; Chordata; Mammalia; Rodentia; Cricetidae. The record is from RNAcentral.
UGUCUUAAUUUUUUAUAAUAUUUUCAAAGGUGCCUGCAUAUCCUGGAGCUUCAAAGAUGUUUUGGAAUCUUACUGCACCAAAAUUCUCCAUUCCAGAAUCAACCAUGAGAGAAACUUUAUAUCCACAAUAUGAGAGUAUUCAGACAAGUAGAAUUUUAACUGAGAAACUUUCUGAAAGCAAGGAAAGUGUGAUUAUUUUAAAUACCUACACCAGAAGAAGUUUUCAGGUAUGUAUGACUUU